ACGUGCUGUGUGUGAGGGAGGCCAUCAAGUUUGCUGCAGACUACUGCAGAGCCGGGAAGGGUCCUAUUGUGAUGGAGCUGGAGACCUACCGUUACCAUGGACACAGCAUGAGCGACCCCGGCGUUAGCUACCGUUCACGUGAGGAGAUCCAGGAAGUGCGCAGUAAGAGUGACCCCAUCACCAUGCUGAAGGAACGCAUGCUGUCCAACAACAUGGCUUCUGUGGAGGAGA
Molecule: long non-coding RNA, 231 nt
Organism: Salvelinus sp. IW2-2015
Lineage: Eukaryota; Metazoa; Chordata; Actinopteri; Salmoniformes; Salmonidae
Exons: 3
Source: RefSeq, a predicted model, not a curated record